AAGCUCGUAGUUGAAUUUCGGGAUCAGUAAGCUGGUCGUACCUUCGGUGUCACUGAUUCCUCCCUUCUGAUGAACCGUUAUGCUAUUUAGUUGGUGUGGCGGGGAAUCAGGACUGUUACUUUGAAAAAAUUAGAGUGUUUAAAGCAAGCUCGCGCUUGAAUACAUUAGCAUGGAAUAAUAAAAUAGGACGUUUGAUCUCCUAUUUUGUUGGUUUCUAGGAUCGACGUAAUGAUUAAUAGGGAUAGUUGGG
Molecule: ribosomal RNA, 250 nt
Filed under: uncultured Glomus
Lineage: Eukaryota; Fungi; Glomeromycota; Glomeromycetes; Glomerales; Glomeraceae
Description: partial 18S ribosomal RNA
Rfam family: Eukaryotic small subunit ribosomal RNA
Source: RNAcentral